ACCUUGAUCUUCUGAGAAGG
Molecule: small nuclear RNA, 20 nt
Filed under: Arabidopsis thaliana (thale cress)
Lineage: Eukaryota; Viridiplantae; Streptophyta; Magnoliopsida; Brassicales; Brassicaceae
Description: snRNA_09029
Source: RNAcentral